UACGUAGGUGGCAAGCGUUGUCCGGAUUUAUUGUUCGUCCCUCUAGCGCAGGCGGUCUUUUAAGUCUGAUGUGAAAGCCCCCGGCUUAACCGGGGAGGGUCAUUGGAAACUGGGAGACUUGAGUGCAGAAGAGGAAAGCGGAAUUCCAUGUGUAGCGGUGAAAUGCGUAGAUAUAUGGAGGAACACCAGUGGCGAAGGCGGCUUUCUGGUCUGUAACUGACGCUGAGGCUCGAAAGCGUGGGGAGCAAACAGGAUUAGAUACCCUGGUAGUCCACGCCGUAAACGAUGAGUGCUAAGUGUUGGAGGGUUUCCGCCCUUCAGUGCUGCAGCAAACGCAUUAAGCACUCCGCCUGGGGAGUACGACCGCAAGGUUGAA
RNAcentral lists this ribosomal RNA (376 nucleotides) under uncultured bacterium. RNAcentral's name for it is "bacterial SSU rRNA". It matches the Rfam family "Bacterial small subunit ribosomal RNA", at positions 524 to 898 of the family's 1533-position model. The record is from RNAcentral.